Molecule: ribosomal RNA, 253 nt
Filed under: uncultured bacterium
Lineage: Bacteria
Description: partial 16S ribosomal RNA
Rfam family: Bacterial small subunit ribosomal RNA
Source: RNAcentral
UACAGAGGGUGCAAGCGUUGUUCGGAAUUAUUGGGCGUAAAGAGCUCGUAGGCGGUUUGUUGCGUCGGCUGUGAAAUCCCGAGGCUCAACCUCGGGUCUGCAGUCGAUACGAGCAAACUAGAGUGUUGCAGGGGAGACUGGAAUUCCUGGUGUAGCGGUGAAAUGCGCAGAUAUCAGGAGGAACACCGGUGGCGAAGGCGGGUCUCUGGGCAACAACUGACGCUGAGGAGCGAAAGCGUGGGGAGCGAACAGG